This is a long non-coding RNA of Oreochromis aureus, 1463 nucleotides long. RefSeq lists it as uncharacterized. The record is from RefSeq and is a predicted model, not a curated record. Lineage: Eukaryota; Metazoa; Chordata; Actinopteri; Cichliformes; Cichlidae. The transcript is spliced from 3 exons.
AGCCAGCACAGUCCCUGCCCCCGUGCAGGGCUUCCAGUAAUUAUCCUCGUCCAGUUCCCAGUCCCAAGGCUGAAAAUUUCCCAGAGGAAACGGUGUUAAGGGAACAAUGAGCAGGAACUGUGGGGAGCAGCUUUUCUAUCAGGGUCAAAAUAAUAAAUAGUCUAUAAUGUGUCUUUUUUACAUAAACGCAGCCUGCUUUGGUGCUUCUGGUGACAGUUUUUGCAGACAAAUGUGCAAAACUGUGCUGAGAGCAUGAUGUCGGGCCAAUGAUCCUGAUGUGAGAGAGGGGGGAAACUAUCAGCGGAUGUUUUCAGGACAGGGGAAGUGUUUCCCCGUCUGUCUAAUGAGGAUACAGAAAUUCCCAAGGUCAUAUCCUUUUUGGAUUGUUAUGUUAAGACAAUAGUUUAUUUUAUAUAUAUGAUGUAGGCCUGAUACUCUUGCACUUGCAGUGCUAUGCUCAGGAAAACCUUUUUUUUGACAGCCAGGUGUGAUUAUUGAGGUGUUAUCUUACUGAGCUACAAGAACAUUUUUGUAUAAUCUCAUUUACUGUAAGAUUUGUGCUUCUAUGGGAUAAGUCUGUCACAAUGAGAAAAAAUGGAACAGUUGUAGUGGUGAGAUUGAUCUGGAGCGUCCUCUUGUGGUAUAAUGUGAGAAAUUACUCUGUAAGCUGAAGACCUCUGCAGAAAUGCACACAAAGUAAAUUGUGUGCUGUUUUUCUUCCAUUAGUAGUAAGUGGUGCAGAGAGUGGUCGGGAUUAUCUGUGAUAGAAGGAUCCUGAAAAGAGUCCAGGUUGAUGCUGCUGUCCUAGCAGACAAAGGACACUAAAUCUGCAUCAUUUUGCUGCACACAUUCAAGCAUCUCAGCUUCCUUAGGCGAUAGGCCAUGCUCAUAUCUUUCUUGUGUACAGCAUCUGUGUUGGUCUUCCAGUUCAGCCUAUUGCCAGUGUGGAUGCGUAGGUGCCUGUACUCCCUGCAACUCAUCACCAUCCUGUCCCAGGAUAGACACGGGUCAUGAAGUCAAUCGUCAUCUCUCCGCUCUUAUUUACUUCCAGAAGCAGAGUCAUCAGAGUAUUUCUGUAGGUGCCGUGACCCGGAGUUGUACUGACAAUCUGAGGUGUACGAGGUGAACAGGAAUGGAGAAAGCACGAUCCCCUGUGGGGCCCUGCACAUCACCUAACCAGGCAGAGCACUGCCCAAUCUCACAGACUGUCAGCCUCACUUCUUCAAAGGGAUAAAAAAGGUGAAAGAGAGAAGUAAGACAACAGAGACGAUAGAAGAGAGCAGAGCUGGAAGGGCUCGUCUAUGCUAUAAAUGGGUACUACUUGUAACAAAGUAAGAAAGUGACGAUCACAAAGUGCCUUACAGUAGAAAUGUGAAAAAAAACAGAGCAUUAAAAAAAGAGUUGACUAAAUACAAAAAUUUUUCAGCAUGUACCACAGAGAUAUACCAUCAAUCUAUGCUCUC